GUAUUGAAGGUGAUGCCUGCCCGGUGACGUGGUGUUCAACGGCCGCGGUAUCCUGACCGUGCGAAGGUAGCGCAAUCAAUUGUCCCGUAAAUCGGGACUAGUAUGAAUGGCUAAACGAGGUUCUAACUGUCUCUUACAGGCGAUCGGUGAAAUUGAUCUCCCUGUGCAAAAGCAGGGAUAAACCCAUAAGACGAGAAGACCCUGUGGAACUUCAAAAACAGCAGCCACCCCUAAAUACAUACACACCCAACCCGGGCGCACUUACUUCACGGGCCAUUGGCUUGCAUUUUUUCGGUUGGGGCGACCUUGGAGCAAAACAAAACCUCCAAAAACUGGACCACACAUCUAGACCAAGAGCAACUUCUCGACGUGCGAACAGCAACCAGACCCAAUACAAUUGAUCAAUGGACCAAGCUACCCCAGGGAUAACAGCGCAAUCUCCUUCGAGAGUCCAUAUCGACAAGGAGGUUUACGACCUCGAUGUUGGAUCAGGACAUCCUAGUGGUGCAGCAGCUACUAAGGGUUCGU
This 528-nucleotide ribosomal RNA is filed under the name Lioparus chrysotis (golden-breasted fulvetta). Its description in RNAcentral is "partial 16S ribosomal RNA". It matches the Rfam family "Bacterial large subunit ribosomal RNA", at positions 1843 to 2576 of the family's 2925-position model. Lineage: Eukaryota; Metazoa; Chordata; Aves; Passeriformes; Sylviidae. The record is from RNAcentral.